Poecile atricapillus (Black-capped chickadee) is the source of this 3716-nucleotide long non-coding RNA. RefSeq lists it as uncharacterized. NCBI's taxonomy places the organism in Eukaryota, Metazoa, Chordata, Aves, Passeriformes, Paridae. The record is from RefSeq and is a predicted model, not a curated record. The transcript has 3 exons.
AAGCAGCUCAGCUGUUUUCAGCCAGCCCUGAGGAUGUUGGGUGUGUUUUUGGGAUGCCACAGUGCCCCAGUGGCCUCAUUCCAUUGGGAGGAUGAGGAGGAUAAUUGAUUUAAUAGCCCUGACAGUGGAAUGUUGGAUUGCUGGAGGAAUUUCUGUACUAAACCCUGGCAUGCAGGAAACUCCUGCACCUUUUCCUGCUGUUUCUUGGUGUGUGGCUUUGUGGUGGUUUUAAUGUUGGGGGUGACCUGAAAAGAAGGAAAAUUGUAUAAAUUUCAGUUGUGUGGAAGCAGGGUGCUUGUUCCUAAAUCACUUUUUAGGGGUUUUUCUGCUUUGGGAAAUCGUGGUUGUUGGAACUUGGUUGGGUCUGUGAUUCAGGUUUGGGAUUUGUGCUAAAAUCCCAACGGAAUUGUGUGGAAAUCCUGCCUGAGCUGCUCCUUUAAAACACUUUAAACAAAACCAAGGAGGGGGAAAGCAAAUCUGAUCCCUCUGGAAAUUCUGGCAGGGAGAGAAGGGAACAAAUCCCAUCCUCCAGGGUUUGGGAGGGAUCUUUAAAAGGCACCCUCAGGUCCCCAACUCCGGAAUAUUUCCGUGUAGGAUCGGAAAACAACCCCACUGUGGAGAUAAUUCCGUUUUCCUUGGUGCUUGGGGAGCAGGAAAGAAAAAUCCCCCUGGAUUCUGUUCCUGGCAGGCCAUGGAGAGCUGAUCACCCCCCUGCCAAAGGAGCAGGAUCCCAGCCAGGACCAUAAAUGAGUUUCAAAUGAGCCUUCCCAACUUCAGGAAGAAUUUUGGGUGUAAACCCCUUCCACAGGUUUGACGUUCAUCCCGAUUUUCCAUUGCUUGUGAGCUGCUCUCUGCCUUCUCUGCUGCACUUGAGGUUCACAAGGUUGGCAGAAUUUCACUUGUUCUUGAAGAAAUUGCAUUUUUAGUAGUGUUUUGAAAGGAACAAAAAUCCCCAGGUGCCUCAGGAAUGAUCCACCCUGAAAAAAAAACCCCACCUGGAGCUGGUGGAGCUUCGUGUGCUCCUUCAAAUUGGGUGCUGGGAAAUCUGCACCGAAGCCAAACCAGGAUUUUCCUCUGUGUUAAUUCAGGAAUUGCACUGAUCUCAAGCCUAAUUUCCACAUUCAGUUGGCUUUUAUUUCCUCCACCCAUGCUGGAGAAAUCCCAGAGGGUUUGGAGAUUUAUGUUUUAAAGCUCUUUUCUUUGAGGAUUGGCAGAUAAGAACCAGCAAGGCUCGGAAACUGCUGGAGCUUCUGGCUGAGGUAGCGGAGAAUUCUGGAACAAACAACUGGGGAAUGGCCUAAAAGCAGAGAGGCUCAGGGACAGAUGUGUGGCCACCAGAACGAUUCCAGUUCCAUCCUCAGUGCUCCUGCAUCCAGCUCUGGCUCAGAUCUGCCUCCCUCAGCUGAAACUCAGAGAAUUCUUCUGCUUCCUGAUUAUUUCCAGCUCUCAUGGAAUUCUCCUGGCAAGCUCAGGCAUCAGGAAAAGGGCAGCUCUAUCCAGCUUGGAAUGGGAUUCACUUUGUCUUCUUGUGGUGUUUCUGGUGAAGGAAAAGCAGGUUUGGAGCUUGGAGUGGAGGAAAAUGCUGACUUGGUUUGUGCUGGGUUCAGAGCAGCCAACUCGUCUGCAAAGUAUCUCCAGGGAAAAUCUGACUUUUCCUUCUACCUUUUCCUUAUUACUCUGAUUUUUUUUGGCACAAAAAUGGCUGGAAAUCAGCCAGAUGUAAAUCACUAGAAGCUCCAAAGAAAGAAAAGCAGGCUGGAGGCUUUGCUGGAACAGCAUUUCCUUCUCCCCAAAUCCCUGUUUUCAUCUGGAAAAUGCCUUUUGCUUCCCAGCAAAAUUCCUCUCUGUGGGGUCAGCAGUGACCAAGGGAAAUUUGCCAUCUUUAUGUGAAAUCGGGAGGAUAAUUGAAUUGUGGAAUAAUUGAAGAAUUCUUUUUCUUCUGUGUGAUUUCUUCCCUCAGGCAGGUAAAACCUGCUGAGAGAAGUGGCCAAGAAUGAUUUUUUUUUUUCCUGAAGCAAAGCAGCGUUUCCCACAAGGAAACUCCUGUGUGCAGUAAAAUGAAAACUCAGCAGCCAGGCACAGGUUCAGGUAUAAAUUCACAAUUCCUGACCUUCCCAGGGUGUUUUUGGCAGGAAACAGAGCUGGUGUUGUCUUACAAGGAGUGAAACCCCCUCUGUGCUGGGCUGUCCCUGCUUCAUUUGUCACCAAGGGAAAGGUGUUGGUGCUCUGAGCUCUCCAGGAGUGCUUUGCUGUCCUUUUUUUUUCCUGUGUCCUGUAGGAUUGAAAUCUGUGGCUUUCAGAGCUGUGGGAUUCCUGGAAAAAAUCCAAUUCAGAGCUGUGGAAUCCCAGAAUUUUGUGGGUUGGAGAGACCUUAAAGAUCCAGGAUGCUCCAAGCCCAGCCUGACCUUGGACAUCCCAGGGAUCCAGGGGCUGGAAUGCCAGGAAUUCCUUCCCAAAUCCCAUCCAUCCCUUCUCUCUGCCACUGGGAAACCAUUCCCUGUGUCCUCUCCUUCCCGACCUUUCCCAAAUUCCAGCUCUCCUGGAGCCCCUCCAGGCCCUGGAAUGUGCUGGAUGCUCUCCCUGGAUCCUUCCCUUCUCCAGGAGAACAUUCCCAGUUUUCCCAGCCUGGCUCUGGAGCAGAGGGAAACCUUUGGAGCAGCUCCAGCUUCCUCUGCUGUCGACCCCAGAGCUGGAUCUGGCUGCAGGUGGAAUCUCACCAGGGCAGAGUAGAGGGAGAAUCCAGAGGAAGGAAAAGUUGGGAUUUGCCCCAGGAAUUGUUCAACAGAAGAUCCUUGGAUAUAUAAAUAACAAAACCUGCGGUUGCUUUGCUUAAAGGGAGAAACUCUGAGGGUGCAGUGAGAAUUCUUGGCUUGAGGAAAACCAGGAUUUUAAAUUUGGAAUAAUUUUAGCCCAGAUUUCUCAACAAGUUUGCAACAAAUCAAAUGCUAAAAAUCCACCUCUUGCUACUCCUCACUGCUUUUUUGUGGCCUUUAUAACCUUUUUAACUUGUAAAAAUCCUUUUUUUGGUUUUUUUUUUCUGGUGUCCUGCAGGGCUGGAGGAGCCUGAGGGAAGUUGGGAAAAACAGGAAUAAAGGGAAAAUAGGGAUAAAUAUUCCUUAAAGCAUCAAAACCCCGGUGAUGGUUUCAGGUUCACCUGGGGAUGCUGUAUCAGGAAAAGGAGGGAUUUUGGAGAAGAAAAAUCAGUUUCCAAAGGUUUGAACUUGCCCACAGACCCCAAAAUUCCAUAAAUCCUCAGGAAUUCCAUAAAUCCUCGGGAAUUCCAUAAAUCAAGCUGGAUUUCUUUAUUUUAUUUUGGAAAUCUAUUCAGGUGUGGUGUUUGGUUUUCCUUCAAAUUCAACCUCUGACACCUCAGAUUUCCAUAGGACAGGUGGUGUAAAGCUUUUUUAUGGAAAAAAAAUGAACUGGCUGAGUGUUAAUCUCAGCUUGUAACUAAUGUUAAUUUUAAAGAAACCUAAUGAAAGGAUUUUUAUUUUUUUUCCUUCUUUAUUUUUUGUCUUGGGGUUAAAUGUUUGCCAGGAAAAAGCCACUGAACCCUGUGAACACACAGAGCAUCUGUAGGCCAUGGUGUUCAUCUGGGAUUUGGGUGUGAAGUCAAAUCUUAACAAAUUUUUUAUUAUUAUUUUAUUUGAUUUUUUAUUAUUAUUAUUUGUAUUUAUUUAUAGUUAUUUAUGUAUUAUUGAUAUUUUUAAUUAUAU